Molecule: ribosomal RNA, 1445 nt
Filed under: metagenome
Description: bacterial LSU rRNA
Rfam family: Bacterial large subunit ribosomal RNA
Source: RNAcentral
CCAAGUGAGUAGGGAGAGAGUCUAGGCAAAUCCGGACGCUCGUUAAUCCUGAGACACGAAUGCGAAGGUAGACUACGGUCUGCUGAAGUCGCUGAUGCCCUGCUUCCAGGAAAAGUCUCUAAGGCUAGGUUUACGCGAACCGUACCCUAAACCGACACAGGUGGACAGGUAGAGAAUACUAAGGCGCUUGAGAGACCUCGGGUGAAGGAACUAGGCAAAAUAGCACCGUAACUUCGGGAGAAGGUGCGCCUCUGUUAAGUGAAGUCCUUUACGGAUGGAGCUGAGAGAGGUCGAAGAAACUAGGUGGCUGCGACUGUUUACUAAAAACACAGCACUCUGCAAACUCGUAAGAGGAAGUAUAGGGUGUGACGCCUGCCCGGUGCCGGAAGGUUAGUUGAUGGGGUCAGCCGCAAGGCGAAGCUCUUGAUCGAAGCCCCGGUAAACGGCGGCCGUAACGAUAACGGUCCUAAGGUAGCGAAAUUCCUUGUCGGGUAAGUUCCGACCUGCACGAAUGGCGUAACGAUGGCCACGCUGUCUCCACCCGAGACUCAGUGAAAUUGGAAUUGCUGUGAAGAUGCAGCGUACCCGCGGCAAGACGGAAAGACCCCGUGAACCUUUACUAUAGCUUUACACUGGACUUUGACUCUAUUUGUGUAGGAUAGGUGGGAGGCACUGAAGCGUGGACGCUAGUCCAUGUGGAGCCAACCUUGAAAUACCACCCUGAUAGCGUUGAAGUUCUAACCUAGGCUGCUGAAUCGCGGCUGGGGACAGUGUAUGGUGGGUAGUUUGACUGGGGCGGUCUCCUCCGAAAGAGUAACGGAGGAGCGCAAAGGUACCCUCAGCAUGGUCGGACAUCGUGCGAAGAGCGCAAAAGCAAGAAGGGUGCUUGACUGCGAGAGCGACGGUUCGAGCAGGUACGAAAGUAGGUUUUAGUGAUCCGGUGGUUCUUAAUGGAAGGGCCAUCGCUCAACGGAUAAAAGGUACUCCGGGGAUAACAGGCUGAUACCGCCCAAGAGUUCAUAUCGACGGCGGUGUUUGGCACCUUGAUGUCGGCUCAUCACAUCCUGGGGCUGUAGUCGGUCCCAAGGGUAUGGCUGUUCGCCAUUUAAAGUGGUACGCGAGCUGGGUUUAGAACGUCGUGAGACAGUUCGGUCCCUAUCUGCCGUGGGCGUUGGAGAUUUGAGAGGAGCUGCUUUUAGUACGAGAGGACCGAAGUGGACGUACCUCUGGUGUGGCCGGUUGUGUCGCCAGACGCAUUGCCGGGUAGCUAAGUACGGACGGGAUAACCGCUGAAAGCAUCUAAGCGGGAAGCCCCCCUCAAGAUGAGAUCUCCCUGGCCGAAAGGCCCGUAAAGUUAGUUGAAGACUACGACAUAGAUAGGCGGGGUGUGGAAGCACAGUAAUGUGUGGAGCUAACCCGUACUAAUUAACUGAGAGACUUAUCCU